UUUAUAAGUUUCCAGUGGGAGGGGUUCAAAAAAUUUUAAGGUACGGUUUAUAGUAUGGUGCACUCAUAGUCCGGAAAAUACGGUGAUUGGUCUUAAAAGAUUUUUUUGAAAUCGAAUUAAUUAUCUGCAAAUAAUGCCAUCU
Poecilia latipinna (sailfin molly) is the source of this 142-nucleotide long non-coding RNA. RefSeq lists it as uncharacterized. Lineage: Eukaryota; Metazoa; Chordata; Actinopteri; Cyprinodontiformes; Poeciliidae. The transcript is spliced from 3 exons. The record is from RefSeq and is a predicted model, not a curated record.